UACGUAGGUGGCGAGCGUUAUCCGGAUUUACUGGGCGUAAAGAGCGCGCAGGCGGCUGGUCAAGUCCGAUGUGAAAGCUCCCGGCUUAACUGGGAAAUUGCAUCGGAAACUGAUCGGCUGGAAGGUGGGAGAGGGAGGCGGAAUUCUCGGUGUAGAGGUGAAAUUCGUAGAUAUCGAGAGGAACACCGGUGGCGAAGGCAGCCUUCUGGACAGCAACUGACGCUGAGACGCGAAAGCGUGGGGAGCAAACAGG
Molecule: ribosomal RNA, 253 nt
Filed under: uncultured bacterium
Lineage: Bacteria
Description: partial 16S ribosomal RNA
Rfam family: Bacterial small subunit ribosomal RNA
Source: RNAcentral